UGGGGAAUAUUGCACAAUGGGCGCAAGCCUGAUGCAGCCAUGCCGCGUGUGUGAAGAAGGCCUUCGGGUUGUAAAGCACUUUCAGCGAGGAGGAAGGUGGUGAGCUUAAUACGCUCAUCAAUUGACGUUACUCGCAGAAGAAGCACCGGCUAACUCCGUGCCAGCAGCCGCGGUAAUACGGAGGGUGCAAGCGUUAAUCGGAAUUACUGGGCGUAAAGCGCACGCAGGCGGUUUGUUAAGUCAGAUGUGAAAUCCCCGGGCUCAACCUGGGAACUGCAUUUGAAACUGGCAAGCUAGAGUCUCGUAGAGGGGGGUAGAAUUCCAGGUGUAGCGGUGAAAUGCGUAGAGAUCUGGAGGAAUACCGGUGGCGAAGGCGGCCCCCCUGGACGAAGACUGACGCUCAGGUGCGAAAGCGUGGGGCAGCAAACAGGAUUAGAUACCCUGGUAGUCCACGCUGUAAACGAUGUCGAUUUGGAGGUUGUGCCCUGAGGCGUGGNUUCCGGAGCUAACGCGUUAAAUCGACCGCCUGGGGAGUACGGCCGCAAGGUUAAAACUCAAAUGAAUUGCGGGUCUAGCUGUUCC
This 582-nucleotide ribosomal RNA is filed under the name uncultured bacterium. Its description in RNAcentral is "partial 16S ribosomal RNA". It matches the Rfam family "Bacterial small subunit ribosomal RNA", at positions 355 to 936 of the family's 1533-position model. The record is from RNAcentral.